This 388-nucleotide ribosomal RNA is filed under the name uncultured bacterium. RNAcentral describes it as "bacterial SSU rRNA". It matches the Rfam family "Bacterial small subunit ribosomal RNA", at positions 335 to 721 of the family's 1533-position model. The record is from RNAcentral.
ACUCCUACGGGAGGCAGCAGUGGGGAAUAUUGCACAAUGGGCGCAAGCCUGAUGCAGCCAUGCCGCGUGUGUGAAGAAGGCCUUCGGGUUGUAAAGCACUUUGUCGGGAAGAAAUCACAGGGUUAAUACCCCUGCUGCGUCUGACGGUACCCGAAGAAUAAGCACCGGCUAACUCCGUGCCAGCAGCCGCGGUAAUACGGAGGGUGCAAGCGUUAAUCGGAAUUACUGGGCGUAAAGCGAGUGUAGGUGGCUAUGUAAGUCGGAUGUGAAAUCCCGGCGUCACUAGGACUGCAUCGAUACUGCAUGGCUAGAGUCUGAUAGAGGGAAGUGGAAUUCCAGGUGUAGCGGUGAAAUGCGUAGAUAUCUGGAAGAACACCAGUGGCGAAGG